UGACCCUACGGGACGCAGCAGUGGGGAAUAUUGCGCAAUGGGCGAAAGCCUGACGCAGCGACGCCGCGUGAGGGAUGAAGGUCUUCGGAUCGUAAACCUCUGUCAGCAGGGAAGAACGGUCACUGUGCUAAUCAGCAGUGAAUUGACGGUACCUGACUAAGAAGCCCCGGCUAACUACGUGCCAGCAGCCGCGGUAAUACGUAGGGGGCAAGCGUUAUCCGGAUUUACUGGGUGUAAAGGGCGCGUAGACGGCAGGGCAAGUCUGGAGUGAAAGCCCGUGGCCCAACCCCGGGACGGCUGUGGAA
This 305-nucleotide ribosomal RNA is filed under the name uncultured bacterium. RNAcentral describes it as "bacterial SSU rRNA". It matches the Rfam family "Bacterial small subunit ribosomal RNA", at positions 334 to 631 of the family's 1533-position model. The record is from RNAcentral.